This 3091-nucleotide ribosomal RNA is filed under the name Salmonella enterica. RNAcentral describes it as "23S ribosomal RNA". It matches the Rfam family "Bacterial large subunit ribosomal RNA". Lineage: Bacteria; Pseudomonadati; Pseudomonadota; Gammaproteobacteria; Enterobacterales; Enterobacteriaceae. The record is from RNAcentral.
GGUUAAGCGACUAAGCGUACACGGUGGAUGCCCUGGCAGUCAGAGGCGAUGAAGGGCGUGCUAAUCUGCGAUAAGCGCCGGUAAGGUGAUAUGAACCGUUAUAACCGGCGAUACCCGAAUGGGGAAACCCAGUGUGAUUCGUCACACUAUCAUUAACUGAAUCCAUAGGUUAAUGAGGCGAACCGGGGGAACUGAAACAUCUAAGUACCCCGAGGAAAAGAAAUCAACCGAGAUUCCCCCAGUAGCGGCGAGCGAACGGGGAGGAGCCCAGAGCCUGAAUCAGCAUGUGUGUUAGUGGAAGCGUCUGGAAAGGCGCGCGAUACAGGGUGACAGCCCCGUACACAAAAGCGCAUGUGCUGUGAGCUCGAUGAGUAGGGCGGGACACGUGGUAUCCUGUCUGAAUAUGGGGGGACCAUCCUCCAAGGCUAAAUACUCCUGACUGACCGAUAGUGAACCAGUACCGUGAGGGAAAGGCGAAAAGAACCCCGGCGAGGGGAGUGAAAAAGAACCUGAAACCGUGUACGUACAAGCAGUGGGAGCCCCACCACUAAGCCAGUGGUGAACUCCACAUCCGCAUCCUUUGCUGAGGAUACGGUUAACGGAGCGAAAGCGACGUUCAACCGCAAAACAAGCAGAGGGGGCUUAGUGGUGGGGUGACUGCGUACCUUUUGUAUAAUGGGUCAGCGACUUAUAUUCUGUAGCAAGGUUAACCGAAUAGGGGAGCCGGAGGGAAACCGAGUCUUAAUUGGGCGUUAAGUUGCAGGGUAUAGACCCGAAACCCGGUGAUCUAGCCAUGGGCAGGUUGAAGGUUGGGUAACACUAACUGGAGGACCGAACCGACUAAUGUUGAAAAAUUAGCGGAUGACCUGUGGCUGGGGGUGAAAGGCCAAUCAAACCGGGAGAUAGCUGGUUCUCCCCGAAAGCUAUUUAGGUAGCGCCUCGUGAAUUCAUCUCCGGGGGUAGAGCACUGUUUCGGCUAGGGGGCCAUCCCGGCUUACCAACCCGAUGCAAACUGCGAAUACCGGAGAAUGUUAUCACGGGAGACACACGGCGGGUGCUAACGUCCGUCGUGAAGAGGGAAACAACCCAGACCGCCAGCUAAGGUCCCAAAGUCAUGGUUAAGUGGGAAACGAUGUGGGAAGGCCCAGACAGCCAGGAUGUUGGCUUAGAAGCAGCCAUCAUUUAAAGAAAGCGUAAUAGCUCACUGGUCGAGUCGGCCUGCGCGGAAGAUGUAACGGGGCUAAACCAUGCACCGAAGCUGCGGCAGCGAACGUAUCACCCAAGACAACUUUACGGAGUUGACGAUUGACGGAGCGAAGCGACGUCAAAGCGUUCAUUAAAGUCGAGUUGGCUUAGGGAUACGUUCGUUGGGUAGGGGAGCGUUCUGUAAGCCUGUGAAGGUGUGUCGUGAGGCAUGCUGGAGGUAUCAGAAGUGCGAAUGCUGACAUAAGUAACGAUAAAGCGGGUGAAAAGCCCGCUCGCCGGAAGACCAAGGGUUCCUGUCCAACGUUAAUCGGGGCAGGGUGAGUCGACCCCUAAGGCGAGGCCGAAAGGCGUAGUCGAUGGGAAACGGGUUAAUAUUCCCGUACUUGGUGUUACUGCGAAGGGGGGACGGAGAAGGCUAUGUUGGCCGGGCGACGGUUGUCCCGGUUUAAGCGUGUAGGUGUGUGUUCCAGGUAAAUCCGGUUCACUUUAACACUGAGGCGUGACGACGAGGCACUACGGUGCUGAAGCAACAAAUGCCCUGCUUCCAGGAAAAGCCUCUAAGCAUCAGGUAACACGAAAUCGUACCCCAAACCGACACAGGUGGUCAGGUAGAGAAUACCAAGGCGCUUGAGAGAACUCGGGUGAAGGAACUAGGCAAAAUGGUGCCGUAACUUCGGGAGAAGGCACGCUGACACGUAGGUGAAGUGAUUUACUCAUGGAGCUGAAGUCAGUCGAAGAUACCAGCUGGCUGCAACUGUUUAUUAAAAACACAGCACUGUGCAAACACGAAAGUGGACGUAUACGGUGUGACGCCUGCCCGGUGCCGGAAGGUUAAUUGAUGGGGUCAGCGUAAGCGAAGCUCCUGAUCGAAGCCCCGGUAAACGGCGGCCGUAACUAUAACGGUCCUAAGGUAGCGAAAUUCCUUGUCGGGUAAGUUCCGACCUGCACGAAUGGCGUAAUGAUGGCCAGGCUGUCUCCACCCGAGACUCAGUGAAAUUGAACUCGCUGUGAAGAUGCAGUGUACCCGCGGCAAGACGGAAAGACCCCGUGAACCUUUACUAUAGCUUGACACUGAACAUUGAGCCUUGAUGUGUAGGAUAGGUGGGAGGCUUUGAAGUGUGGACGCCAGUCUGCAUGGAGCCGACCUUGAAAUACCACCCUUUAAUGUUUGAUGUUCUAACGUGGACCCGUAAUCCGGGUUGCGGACAGUGUCUGGUGGGUAGUUUGACUGGGGCGGUCUCCUCCUAAAGAGUAACGGAGGAGCACGAAGGUUGGCUAAUCCUGGUCGGACAUCAGGAGGUUAGUGCAAUGGCAUAAGCCAGCUUGACUGCGAGCGUGACGGCGCGAGCAGGUGCGAAAGCAGGUCAUAGUGAUCCGGUGGUUCUGAAUGGAAGGGCCAUCGCUCAACGGAUAAAAGGUACUCCGGGGAUAACAGGCUGAUACCGCCCAAGAGUUCAUAUCGACGGCGGUGUUUGGCACCUCGAUGUCGGCUCAUCACAUCCUGGGGCUGAAGUAGGUCCCAAGGGUAUGGCUGUUCGCCAUUUAAAGUGGUACGCGAGCUGGGUUUAGAACGUCGUGAGACAGUUCGGUCCCUAUCUGCCGUGGGCGCUGGAGAACUGAGGGGGGCUGCUCCUAGUACGAGAGGACCGGAGUGGACGCAUCACUGGUGUUCGGGUUGUCAUGCCAAUGGCACUGCCCGGUAGCUAAAUGCGGAAGAGAUAAGUGCUGAAAGCAUCUAAGCACGAAACUUGCCCCGAGAUGAGUUCUCCCUGAGACUUAGAGUCUCCUGAAGGAACGUUGAAGACGACGACGUUGAUAGGCCGGGUGUGUAAGCGCAGCGAUGCGUUGAGCUAACCGGUACUAAUGAACCGUGAGGCUUAACCUU